UGGGGAAUAUUGCACAAUGGGCGCAAGCCUGAUGCAGCCAUGCCGCGUGUGUGAAGAAGGCCUUCGGGUUGUAAAGCACUUUCAGCGGGGAGGAAGGCGGUGAGGUUAAUAACCUCAUCGAUUGACGUUACCCGCAGAAGAAGCACCGGCUAACUCCGUGCCAGCAGCCGCGGUAAUACGGAGGGUGCAAGCGUUAAUCGGAAUUACUGGGCGUAAAGCGCACGCAGGCGGUCUGUCAAGUCGGAUGUGAAAUCCCCGGGCUCAACCUGGUGACUGCCUUUCGAAACUGGUAGGCAAGAUCUUUUUGGAGGGGGUAGAAUUCCAGGUGUAGCGGUGAAAUGCGUAGAGAUCUGGAGGAAUACCGGUGGCGAAGGCGGCCCCCUGGACAAAGACUGACGCUCAGGUGCGAAAGCGUGGGGAGCAAACAGG
This 429-nucleotide ribosomal RNA is filed under the name Chloroflexota bacterium. RNAcentral's name for it is "Chloroflexi bacterium partial 16S ribosomal RNA". It matches the Rfam family "Bacterial small subunit ribosomal RNA", at positions 355 to 776 of the family's 1533-position model. The record is from RNAcentral. Lineage: Bacteria; Bacillati; Chloroflexota.